Molecule: long non-coding RNA, 1251 nt
Filed under: Homo sapiens (human)
Lineage: Eukaryota; Metazoa; Chordata; Mammalia; Primates; Hominidae
Description: HSALNT0336252
Source: RNAcentral
UCUUACUAUGCUGCCCAGGCUGUAGCCUUAGGUAAAGUGCCUUCAAAGGCUCGUUUUAGCUUUGUCAUUUUAUGAAAAGUUGAUAUUCUACUCCCUAAGAUAUCCAUCUUUGUCUUCAGAUAAAAAUUAUUUUCCCAAGUCAUCAAGUUGUGCCAUGUUACCCAGCCUGUGGCUUGUAGUGUCCCUGACACACCCUUGCAUAACGCAGGGAGCCCCUGUGCCCUGUGUGAGAAGCACAGCGUGAAGAUGUUGUCCAUAAUAUUGUACAUGGAAAAGGUAACGUUAGCCCCCAUUAAUGUGGAUUCUCUCAUCUAAUUUCCUCUUUUCACCCAGCAAAGUGCCCAGUGACUGAGAAUGAGACAGAAGAUGAGGGCGUUUGAGGAUGAGAAGGAAGAGGAAAGUCAUCAGAGCCACCUGGAAGUAGAGGUCUGGUCAGGUUGGCCUGCUUAACCAAGAUGGCAGCCAGGGGAGUAGGAAGGAUGAAGACAUUGCACACAUUUGGAGGAAGAAACCAAAGCUGGCAUGAGAGGAGUCCUUUCCAGGGCUGUUCAAGGCAACAGGAUGCAGACUCCUCCCAAUGGGUAAACAUUGGAAGACACCAGGAGGGAAGCCAAGCCUCUAGAGAUUGCUCAGGAACCCAAACCACCCCAAAUGGAGCCGGAAGGUCUGUCAAUUCCCAGAGAGGGAGGAAAUGGUAGACCAGGACCCUGCUGUACUUGACUGGACUCCAGGCUCAGAGUUCCAAUUUGCCCACGGCAGAACUUGGCUGCAGGCUUCAGGUCAAGUUCAGGUCUGUUUCACAGUGUUUAUUCUGGGCCCAGGCUGAAGGGGGCAGUGGCUUCCUGGGAAAUUCGUGUCUUAUGGCUAUCACAGAAGCCCUCAGAGCUAAGUUAAGCCUUUCAAACUUUCAAGACCUCAGAGUGCAUCGCGAUGUCUCAAAUUCCAUUGGCCAUUCUAAUAAUGUGGCCAAGCACACAUCAAUAGGUCAGGACAUAUUCCCUGUACUUGAAGGGUGGGCUCUGCAAUGUUAUGACAAAGGGGAGUGAAGAGUCACGACCAAGUCUUUCAAUCUCAUCUACCGUAGUGGUGAAGGGCACAGGCUUUGGUGCCAGAAAGAAGAGUUGGUUUGAACCCCUGCUUCUGUGACACUGGGGAAAUUACCAAAUACAGAGUUACUCUUCCUCAUUGUUGUGUUGAGAUGAUCCUCACCAAAAAUGAAUUUUAGGAGUCAACUUUCAUAUUUGGUUUAGA